GGGAUCUAGGCUGCGCGCUCCUUAUGAGAAUCUAACGCCUGAUGACCUAUCACUGUCUCCCAUCACUCCCAGAUGGGACCGUCUAGUUGCAGGAAAACAAGCUCAGGGCUCCCACUGAUUCUACAUUAUGAUCAACUGCAUGGGGUCCUACAGGAGAAGACCAAGAGACAGAGACAGAGACCAGGGAAAAUGACCGAUACCAUUCCUUCUCAGGGAUGCUACACACCCAUGGGGCAGAGGAUAAGAGGUUCCUGAAGGCAUCACCCCUCUGGCCAUGGCUGGUGUGCAGACAAAGCUGGAGAUUUGGAGUAGCCUGUUGUCCCACUGACUCUUAGACUGCCCCAGCUAAGAAGAACCAACUCCUCCUAUUACAGAUGAAAUAAACAAAGCUACUCAAGCUCUCUGGCAUCGCCCUGACGGUCAUCAUGUGCUUCACAUUUCCCUCCUGCCCCCCCUGAUUUUCUGGAAAAGGGAGAAAGUGUGUGAAAAAAAAUGGACAAUAACUUCUGUUAACUUUGUAGAUGUCUGGUUCCUCCAUAUGAGGCUGUGCUUGAAUCAAUUUUGGAGAGAGGGUUUCUAAAGUCUCUCUAGAUUCUAUUAAUUUUGAUAGAGACAAUAAAAGGCAGCAGGACCAACUCUGUGUGGUGGGAGAUCUAGCAACCAUUAUAGUCACAAUAGCCACCACUUACUGAACACCCACCAUGUGACAAAGAACAAAUGUGCAUGAAUUAUGUCACAUUUUUCACAAGCACCCCUUGAGUUGGGAGUUCACUCAUGAGGCAACUGAGGUUCAGGGAGAUGAAGUAACUCACCCUGUAGGUAGGAGGGCUGAGAUCUGGACGUAGAUCUUUCCUCCAAAGCUUUGUCUUUUUUUUUCUACUAUAGCACACCAAAGAGAGUUCUAGAAAAAAUGAGAAUAAGAAAUUUACCUGUAAUCCUUGCUCAAGAAACUGAAGCUCUGAGGCCACAUUGUUCCAGCCUUUUGCAGCUCCUGCAUGUGGAUACCAGCACCAGCAGCUCCCCGACCAGGGGCCCCAGCUAAGCCCUCCCAGAGGAUGAUCUUGGCUUUGUACAUGGGGUGUCAAUAUCCUGUGAGUCCAACAGAGGGAAGACAUAAGAAUAUGGUCACCCAGGUUUUGUACAGAGGAAAUCCAGGCUCCUAACGAUGGCGAAAGAUGGGAAUAAAAGGAUCAGAACACUGAGCUGGAUCUUCAGUUCAUUUCAGGUAUGGAGAAGGGUAAAUGGUCUUUAAAGAAGGCCGACCUCAAUGAAGGUGUCUUCCAAGGCCUUGUCCACUCAAGGACAUGUUGCAUGCCUGAAACUGAGUAUACAGGAAAAGGAUAGAAAUGGAAUAAAAUGGAAACCCAUAAAUCACACUACCCUGCUAUGCAGUUUCAAACCACUGACUUAAUGAAAUGUUGAUCCACUUUGCCAUGGAUGCCCCACUUUUUAACUCCUUCUUCAGAGUCCCAGGAGGUGAGGCUCUUCUGUUUAACUGAUUUGCAGAAUUUUUGCUUCUGCUAUUACAAUGGCUUCCAUAGUUGAGUACCAAAGACACUUUACUAUGGUGCCACAGAGAUCAUUUUGCAGAUGAGGAAACAGACUGUUCUACUACCCAGGCUUUGGUUUUUUCUACUCAGUCUUGCACAAUCUCUCACUCUCAGCCCAGAACAUUGCUGCAUUUUUGUGAGCCAUCAGCAUCCAAAGUGAACACAGGGUCUAAAUAACUGAAGAUGGCAUGAGGGAACACACAAUCAGGUCUUUAAAAAAAGAAGAAAGUGAAUAGGCAAACUGAACAGGACAUCUAGGACUGAAAAGCCUCUGUGAACAACUGGACUCAAUAUGAAAUUGGCGUGAGCUCACAGAAGACCAGCUGAGUUCCAGAUGUGGUUGGGUAGCUUGGGUUAUGGGCCCGUAUAAAAAAAAUGGUCUCUUCUUGUAAAAGGAAUUCAAAAAAAGACUAAAAGUCA
Homo sapiens (human) is the source of this 1970-nucleotide long non-coding RNA. Ensembl annotates it as long intergenic non-protein coding RNA 3060. Lineage: Eukaryota; Metazoa; Chordata; Mammalia; Primates; Hominidae. The record is from Ensembl.